CAGCUAGUUGGUGGGGUAAUGGCCUACCAAGGCGACAAUCCGUAGCUGGUCUGAGAGGACGACCAGCCACACCGGAACUGAGACACGGUCCGGACUCCUACGGGAGGCAGCAGUGGGGAAUAUUGGACAAUGGGGGAAACCCUGAUCCAGCGACGCCGCGUGUGUGAAGAAGGCCUGCGGGUUGUAAAGCACUUUUAGUGGGGACAAAAAGCUACGGAUUAAUACUCUGUGGUCUUGAUUUAACCCAAAGAAAAAGCACCGGCUAACUCUGUGCCAGCAGCCGCGGUAAUACAGAGGGUGCGAGCGUUAAUCGGAAUUACUGGGCGUAAAGCGCGCGUAGACGGUUUUGUAAGUCAGAUGUGAAAUCCCUGGGCUCAACCUGGGAACUGCAUUUGAAACUGCAUGGCUAGAGUAUCGAAGAGGGAAGUGGAAUUUCCGGUGUAGCGGUGAAAUGCGUAGAUAUCGGAAGGAACACCAGUGGCGAAAGCGACUUCCUGGUCGAAUACUGACGUUCAUGUGCGAAAGCGUGGGGAGCAAACAGGAUUAGAUACCCUGGUAGUCCACGCCAUAAACGAUGACAACUAGAUGUUGGGAGGGUCUGCCUCUCGGUGUC
Molecule: ribosomal RNA, 613 nt
Filed under: uncultured Gammaproteobacteria bacterium
Lineage: Bacteria; Pseudomonadati; Pseudomonadota; Gammaproteobacteria
Description: SSU rRNA
Rfam family: Bacterial small subunit ribosomal RNA
Source: RNAcentral